RNAcentral lists this ribosomal RNA (479 nucleotides) under uncultured bacterium. RNAcentral's name for it is "partial 16S ribosomal RNA". It matches the Rfam family "Bacterial small subunit ribosomal RNA", at positions 28 to 507 of the family's 1533-position model. The record is from RNAcentral.
GAUGAACGCUAGCGGGAGGCCUAACACAUGCAAGCCGAGCGGUAUUGUUUCUUCGGAAAUGAGAGAGCGGCGUACGGGUGCGUAACACGUGUGCAACCUGCCUUUAUCUGGGGGAUAGCCUUUCGAAAGGAAGAUUAAUACUCCAUAAUAUAUUGAACGGCAUCGUUUAAUAUUGAAAGCUCCGGCGGAUAGAGAUGGGCACGCGCAAGAUUAGCUAGUUGGUGAGGUAACGGCUCACCAAGGCGAUGAUCUUUAGGGGGCCUGAGAGGGUGAUCCCCCACACUGGUACUGAGACACGGACCAGACUCCUACGGGAGGCAGCAGUGAGGAAUAUUGGUCAAUGGGUGCAAGCCUGAACCAGCCAUCCCGCGUGAAGGACGACUGCCCUAUGGGUUGCAAACUUCUUUUGUAUAGGGAUAAACCUACCCUCGAGAGGGUAGCUGAAGGUACUAUACGAAUAAGCACCGGCUAACUCCGUG